Long non-coding RNA from Daphnia carinata, 735 nucleotides. RefSeq lists it as uncharacterized. NCBI's taxonomy places the organism in Eukaryota, Metazoa, Arthropoda, Branchiopoda, Diplostraca, Daphniidae. The transcript is spliced from 4 exons. The record is from RefSeq and is a predicted model, not a curated record.
UAAUGCAGCUGGCCUUGUUCAUUUUUGGUUUCAGUUAAGUCGUCGAUCUGAAGACUGAAUGAACACCUUUUCUACAAUGGCCGGUUUUAUAUCUUAAUGUGCCACAUGCCGUAAUAUCUCGAGCUCAUCGAAACAAAUUGGACUUUGAUUAUUGACACCUGACUACGCGGCCCCUGUACACCCGCCAUGACAACCAAUACGGGCAGCUGGAUCUUCGUUGCUGGGCGAUGGCAAGGUGCACGUUAAGACGGAUCAUUUCUUAUCGUCGGUGGGCUUUAUCCGUCACAUUUCACUCCACGUGAACCACAUCGUCUUAUGUAUCAGAAGGAAACGGUGAUAAUUUAUGAUAUAUUAAACCAGCGAAGCCAACAACCAAUGGGCCACCGUCGGUGACAUAUGGCAGCGAAGUCGUCGAGGGCGAAAAAUGGCAGGUAUAGCCGAGAAGGAACGAAACAAACGAACGAGAAAAUUGAUGUGUGUAGGUUUGAGCUCCAAAGGUGGCGGCACUGUCGUUUGCGGUAGAGGCAGUUGACUUAAUGCCGCCUCCGAUAGCAAUGCUUGGUAAUCGAUUUGAUUGAACGAUUCGCUUUUGUCUCCGAGAUGAUUAUCCGGGGUACUGAUGUAAAUCAAUACGGGAUUAUUGAGCGUACCAAGACUUGUUUUAUAUCCACCGCUUUUAUCCCAAAUCCCGUUUACUGAAAAUUCAGGGAGAAAUUACAUAAGAAAGUGAAUGAA